UCCAGACUCCUACGGGAGGCAGCAGUGGGGAAUAUUGCACAAUGGGGGAAACCCUGAUGCAGCAACGCCGCGUGAGUGAAGAAGUCAUUCGUGAUGUAAAGCUCUAUCAGCAGGGAAGAAAAUGACGGUACCUGACUAAGAAGCCCCGGCUAACUACGUGCCAGCAGCCGCGGUAAUACGUAGGGGGCAAGCGUUAUCCGGAUUUACUGGGUGUAAAGGGAGCGUAGGCGGUAAUGCAAGUCAGAAGUGAAAGCCCGGGGCUCAACUCCGGGACUGCUUUUGAAACUGUGUUACUAGAUUGCAGGAGAGGUAAGUGGAAUUCCUAGUGUAGCGGUGAAAUGCGUAGAUAUUAGGAGGAACACCAGUGGCGAAGGCGGCUUACUGGACUGUAAAUGACGCUGAGGCUCGAAAGCGUGGGGAGCAAACAGGAUUAGAUACCCUUGUA
This 445-nucleotide ribosomal RNA is filed under the name uncultured bacterium. RNAcentral describes it as "bacterial SSU rRNA". It matches the Rfam family "Bacterial small subunit ribosomal RNA", at positions 330 to 792 of the family's 1533-position model. The record is from RNAcentral.